Molecule: non-coding RNA, 30 nt
Filed under: Rattus norvegicus (Norway rat)
Lineage: Eukaryota; Metazoa; Chordata; Mammalia; Rodentia; Muridae
Source: RNAcentral
UAAAACCUCAAAAAGUGAUUCUUGUGAGUC